CACGGGGUUGCGAGCGUUGUCCGGAAUUACUGGGCGUAAAGAGCUCGUAGGUGGUUUGUCGCGUCGUCUGUGAAAUCCCGGGGCUUAACCUCGGGCGUGCAGGCGAUACGGGCAUAACUUGAGUGCUGUAGGGGAGACUGGAAUUCCUGGUGUAGCGGUGAAAUGCGCAGAUAUCAGGAGGAACACCAAUGGCGAAGGCAGGUCUCUGGGCCACUACUGACGCUGAGAAGCGAAAGCAUGGGGAGCGAACAGGAUUAGAUA
This 261-nucleotide ribosomal RNA is filed under the name uncultured prokaryote. Its description in RNAcentral is "partial 16S ribosomal RNA". It matches the Rfam family "Bacterial small subunit ribosomal RNA", at positions 524 to 784 of the family's 1533-position model. The record is from RNAcentral.